This 422-nucleotide ribosomal RNA is filed under the name uncultured prokaryote. RNAcentral describes it as "bacterial SSU rRNA". It matches the Rfam family "Bacterial small subunit ribosomal RNA", at positions 355 to 774 of the family's 1533-position model. The record is from RNAcentral.
UGAGGAAUAUUGGUCAAUGGGGGGAACCCUGAACCAGCCAUCCCGCGUGCAGGAAGACAGUUCUAUGGAUUGUAAACUGCUUUUCUUGGGGAAGAAUAAUGACGACGUGUCGUCAGAUGACGGUACCCGAGGAAUAAGCAUCGGCUAACUCCGUGCCAGCAGCCGCGGUAAUACGGAGGAUGCAAGUGUUAUCCGGAUUUAUUAGGUUUAAAGGGUGUGUAGGCGGAUGUAUAAGUCAGUGGUGAAGGUCAGCAGCUUAACUGUAGAAUUGCCAUUGAUACUGUAUGUCUUGAGUGUGGUUGAGGUAUGCGGAAUGUGUAAUGUAGCGGUGAAAUGCUUAGAUAUUACACAGAACACCAAUUGCGAAGGCAGCUUACUGAGCUAUAACUGACGCUGAUGCGCGAAAGCGUGGGGAGCGAACA